This 309-nucleotide ribosomal RNA is filed under the name uncultured eukaryote. Its description in RNAcentral is "partial 18S ribosomal RNA". It matches the Rfam family "Eukaryotic small subunit ribosomal RNA", at positions 1470 to 1796 of the family's 1831-position model. The record is from RNAcentral.
CCCUUAGAUGUUCUGGGCGGCCCGCGCACUACAAUGGCGUGUGCAGCGAGUGCCGAAGUAGAGUUUUCCGAGGUAUUCUUGCAAUGCUCGUUUUGAUGGGGAUAGACCCUUGCAACUGUUGGUUUUGAACGAGGAAUUCCUUGUAAGCAUGGUUUAUCAUCCGACGCUGAAUGCGUCCCUGCCCUUUGUACACACCGCCCGUCGCGCCUACCGAUGAGUCGUCCGGUGAAGUUCGUAGACCUCGUGAUCGCGGAUCACUGGGGGAAGCAAAAUGAACCUCGCGGUUUAGAGGAAGGAGAAGUCGUAACA